CCGCGCCCCGCUGCCCGCGAGGGCCCGGGUGAAGCCAACGCACAUCCGGGGCCUCGGGGGCCAGGGUUCCCUACGCUCUGAUUUGCAGAAGCGUCGUCUGGCAGGACCACUGCCCGCUCCGGCCUGUGCUUCCUGCCCCCUAGACUGCGGGGAUUCGGCACCCUGGCGGAGUCGUCGUCACUUCAGGCGUCGGAGGACAAGCCGGGGGCAGCGGAGCCCCCUCCAUCCACUCCCGUGACGUUUAUGAAAUUCCUGCCAUGGGCCGGGCUCUGAAGAAGCAGCCGGGAAGGAGGGGAGGAUGGGUGACAUCCGGCCUCGCCGCCUCUGAAGCUCGCGGGGAGCGGCCGUGCAGGGUGCGCUGACCCGCGGAGGGAGCCGGGCGGUGCUGGCGCGCCUUGCAGGUGAUAUUCCAGGGGGAACGCAGCACCUGGAAUCCUUCAACCCGCUCAGCGUCUCCACCGUGUUCCACAGCCCCGAGGUUAGGCUCAGUGCUCCUCUAAACAAAGAGCUCUACAGAUAAAAUGUGGAAAGACCACUGUUUCACUGGGGAACAGACAACAGUUAAAGACAACAAUGAAAUCACAAGAUGACAGCUUCAUAUACAUGAAGAUCUAAGAAGAAAUUCCUUGGCAUUUGGAUUGGGGUUGCAUUGAAUCUAUAAAUUCCUUUGGAUAGUAUGGACAUUUUGAUAUUAAUUCUUCUAAUCCAUGAACAUUAAAGAUUUUUCCAAUA
This is a long non-coding RNA of Lepus europaeus (European hare), 732 nucleotides long. RefSeq lists it as uncharacterized. NCBI's taxonomy places the organism in Eukaryota, Metazoa, Chordata, Mammalia, Lagomorpha, Leporidae. The record is from RefSeq and is a predicted model, not a curated record. The transcript has 3 exons.